RNAcentral lists this ribosomal RNA (1140 nucleotides) under Chryseobacterium joostei. RNAcentral describes it as "bacterial SSU rRNA". It matches the Rfam family "Bacterial small subunit ribosomal RNA", at positions 282 to 1426 of the family's 1533-position model. The record is from RNAcentral. Lineage: Bacteria; Pseudomonadati; Bacteroidota; Flavobacteriia; Flavobacteriales; Weeksellaceae.
UUUAGGGGGCCUGAGAGGGUGAUCCCCCCACACUGGUACUGAGACACGGACCAGACUCCUACGGGAGGCAGCAGUGAGGAAUAUUGGACAAUGGGUGAGAGCCUGAUCCAGCCAUCCCGCGUGAAGGACGACGGCCCUAUGGGUUGUAAACUUCUUUUGUAUAGGGAUAAACCUACCCUCGUGAGGGUAGCUGAAGGUACUAUACGAAUAAGCACCGGCUAACUCCGUGCCAGCAGCCGCGGUAAUACGGAGGGUGCAAGCGUUAUCCGGAUUUAUUGGGUUUAAAGGGUCCGUAGGCGGAUCUGUAAGCAUGUGGUGAAAUCUCACAGCCAUACUGUGAAACUGCCAUUGAUACUGCAGGUCUUGAGUGUUGUUGAAGUAGCUGGAAUAAGUAGUGUAGCGGUGAAAUGCAUAGAUAUUACUUAGAACACCAAUUGCGAAGGCAGGCAUCAUAGCAACAACUGACGCUGAUGGACGAAAGCGUGGGGAGCGAACAGGAUUAGAUACCCUGGUAGUCCACGCCGUAAACGAUGCUAACUCGUUUUUGGGUUUUCGGAUCAUGAGACUAAGCGAAAGUGAUAAGUUAGCCACCUGGGGAGUACGAACGCAAGUUUGAAACUCAAAGGAAUUGACGGGGGCCCGCACAAGCGGUGGAUUAUGUGGUUUAAUUCGAUGAUACGCGAGGAACCUUACCAAGGCCAUAAUGGGAAAUGACAGGUUUAGAAAUAGACUUUUCUUCGGACAUUUUUCAAGGUGCUGCAUGGUUGUCGUCAGCUCGUGCCGUGAGGUGUUAGGCAUAGUCCUGCAACGAGCGCAACCCCUGUCACUAGUUGCCAUCAUUAAGUUGGGGACUCUAGUGAGACUGCCUACGCAAGUAGAGAGGAAGGUGGGGAUGACGUCAAACAUCAUCGGCCCCAUCGCCUUGGGCCACACACGUAAUACAAUGGCCGGUACAGAGGGCAGCAUCACUGCGAAGUGAUGCAAAUCUCGAAAGCCGGUCUCAGUUCGGAUUGGAGUCUGCAACUCGACUCUAUGAAGCUGGAAUCGCAUGUAAUCGCGCAUCAGCCAUGGCGCGGUGAAUACGUUCCCGGGCCUUGUACACACCGCCCGCAUAGCCANGGAAGUCUGGGGUACCUGAAG